GACGAACGCUGGCGGCGUGCUUAACACAUGCAAGUCGAACGGAAAGGCCCUGCUUUUGUGGGGUGCUCGAGUGGCGAACGGGUGAGUAACACGUGAGUAACCUGCCCUUGACUUUGGGAUAACUUCAGGAAACUGGGGCUAAUACCGGAUAGGAGCUCCUGCUGCAUGGUGGGGGUUGGAAAGUUUCGGCGGUUGGGGAUGGACUCGCGGCUCAUCAGCUUGUUGGUGGGGUAGUGGCUUACCAAGGCUUUGACGGGUAGCCGGCCUGAGAGGGUGACCGGCCACAUUGGGACUGAGAUACGGCCCAGACUCCUACGGGAGGCAGCAGUGGGGAAUAUUGCACAAUGGGCGGAAGCCUGAUGCAGCAACGCCGCGUGCGGGAUGACGGCCUUCGGGUUGUAAACCGCUUUCGCCUGUGACGAAGCGUGAGUGACGGUAAUGGGUAAAGAAGCACCGGCUAACUACGUG
Molecule: ribosomal RNA, 468 nt
Filed under: uncultured bacterium
Lineage: Bacteria
Description: partial 16S ribosomal RNA
Rfam family: Bacterial small subunit ribosomal RNA
Source: RNAcentral